UGGGGAAUAUUGCACAAUGGACGGAAGUUUGAUGCAGCGACGCCGCGUGGAGGGUGUAGGCCUUCGGGUUGUAAACUCCUUUUUCUCGCGAAAAAGGCACAGUUUUGGCUGUGUUGAUGGUAGUGGGGGAAGAGGCGCCGGCUAACUACGUGCCAGCAGCCGCGGUAAUACGUAGGGGGCGAGCGUUGUCCGGAAUUACUGGGCGUAAAGGGUUCGCAGGCGGCAUGGCAAGUCCGAUGUAAAAGGCGAAGGCUCAACCUUCGUAAGCAUCGGAAACUGUCAAGCUUGAGUGAAGGAGAGGCAAGUGGAAUUCCUAGUGUAGCGGUGGAAUGCGUAGAUAUUAGGAGGAAUACCGGUGGCGAAGGCGACUUGCUGGACUUCAACUGACGCUGAGGAACGAAAGCGUGGGUAGCAAACAGG
This 420-nucleotide ribosomal RNA is filed under the name Fusobacteriota bacterium. RNAcentral's name for it is "Fusobacteria bacterium partial 16S ribosomal RNA". It matches the Rfam family "Bacterial small subunit ribosomal RNA", at positions 355 to 776 of the family's 1533-position model. Lineage: Bacteria; Fusobacteriati; Fusobacteriota. The record is from RNAcentral.